UACGUAGGGUGCAAGCGUUAAUCGGAAUUACUGGGUGUAAAGCGCGUGCAGGCGGUCGGCUAAGUUGGGUGUGAAAGCUCCUGGCUCAACUGGGAGAGGUCGCUCAAGACUGGCCGACUGGAGAGCAGUAAGGGAAGGUGGAAUUCCGGGUGUAGUGGUGAAAUGCGUAGAUAUCCGGAGGAACACCAGUGGCGAAGGCGGCCUUCUGGACUGCUUCUGACGCUCAGACGCGAAAGCUAGGGGAGCAAACGGGG
Molecule: ribosomal RNA, 254 nt
Filed under: uncultured bacterium
Lineage: Bacteria
Description: partial 16S ribosomal RNA
Rfam family: Bacterial small subunit ribosomal RNA
Source: RNAcentral